GGGGGUCUGUGGUGUUCUGUGGGGUUCUAUAGGGGAUCUGUGGGGUCUAUGGGGGAUCUAUGGGGAGAUCUAUGGGGGUCUGUGGGGAUCUAUGGGGUCCUGUGGGGUCUAGGGGGAAUUUAUGGGGGUCUAUGGGGUUCUGUGGGGCUCUAUAGAGGAUCUAUGGGGUUGUAUAGGGGAUCUGUGGGGUUCUGUGGGGUCUAGGGGGUAUUUAUGGGGAUCUAUGGGGGUCUAUGGGUCCCUAUGAGUCUCUAUGGGUCCCUAUGGGGUCUCUACGGGUCACUAUGGGUCUCUAUGGGUCCCUACGUGUCGCUAUGGGUCCUAUGGGUGCUGUGGGUCCCUAUGGGUCCCUAUGGGUCGCUAUGGGUCCUAUGGGUCUCUAUGGGUCCCUACGUGUCUCUAUGGGUUCUCUAUGGGUCCCUAUGGGUCUCUAUGUGUCCUAUGGGUCCUAUGGGUCCCUAUGGGUCCCUAUGUGUCCCUACGGGUCCUACGGGUCCCUGUGGGUCUCUAUGGGUCUCUAUGGGUCCCUACGUGUCUCUAUGGGUUCUCUAUGGGUCCCUACGUGUCUCUAUGGGUCCCUAUGUGUCCCUACGGGUCCCUGUGGGUCUCUAUGGGUCUCUGUGGGGUGUCUAUGGGUCUCUAUGGGUGUUGAUGGGGUCUCUAUGGGUCUCUAUGUGUCCCUAUGGGUCCCUAUGUGUCUCUAUGGGUCCCUAUGGGUCCCCAUGGGUCCUACGAGUCCCUGUGGGUCUCUAUGGCUCCCUAUGGGUCCCUAUGGGUCUUUACGGGUCCCUAUGGGUCCCUACGUGUCUCUAUGGGUCCCUAUGGGUCUGUAUGGGUCGCUAUGGGUCCCUACGUGUCUCUAUGGAUCCUAUGGGUCCCUAUGGGUCUCUAUGUGUCCUAUGGGUCCUAUGGGUCCCUAUGGGUCCCUAUGUGUCCCUANNNNNNNNNNNNNNNCUCUAUGGGUCUCUAUGGGUCCCUACGUGUCUCUAUGGGUUCUCUAUGGGUCCCUACGUGUCUCUAUGGGUUCUCUAUGGGUCCCUACGUGUCUCUAUGGAUCCUAUGGGUCCCUAUGGGUCCCCAUGGGUCCUACGGGUCCCUGUGGCUCCCUAUGGGUCCCUAUGUGUCUCUAUGGGUCCCUAUGGGUCUUUAUGGGUCUCUACGGGUCCGUGUGGGUCUCUAUGGGUCCCUAUGUGUCCCUAUGGGUCUGUAUGGGUCGCUAUGGGUCCCUAUGUGUCCCUAUGGGUCCUAUGGGUCCCUGUGGCUCCCUAUGUGUCCCUAUGUGUCCCUAUGUGUCUCUAUGGUUCCCUAUGGGUCUUUAUGGGUCUCUAUGGGUCCGUGUGGGUCCCUAUGGGUCCCCAUGUGUCCCUAUGGGUCUCUAUGGGUCUCUAUGGGUCCGUGUGGGUCCCUAUGUGUCCCUAUGGGUCCUAUGUGUCCCCAUGUGUCCCUACGGGUCCUAUGUGUCCCCAUGUGUCCCCGUGUGUCCCUGUGGGUGCGACUCACACGAGGUGGGUGCAGUCGGGCCCCCACUGCGGCCGGUACUUCGCCCCCAUGUUGACGGCGGCGGCCCUCAGGCGGCCCCGCAGCGGGUGGGUGAAACCGCUCAGCGCCACCACCACCCCCCCCAGGACCCCCGCCCCCUUUAUGGGGUCG
RNAcentral lists this long non-coding RNA (1650 nucleotides) under Phasianus colchicus (ring-necked pheasant). RNAcentral describes it as "lncRNA (ENSPCLG00000017453.1)". The record is from RNAcentral. Lineage: Eukaryota; Metazoa; Chordata; Aves; Galliformes; Phasianidae.